GAUGAACGCUGGCGGCGUGCUUAACACAUGCAAGUCGAACGGAAAGGCCUCAGCUUGCUGGGGUGCUCGAGUGGCGAACGGGUGAGUAACACGUAGGUGAUCUGCCUUUCACUUCGGGAUAAGCUUGGGAAACUGGGUCUAAUACCGGAUAUUCACGGCACCGUGGUUGGUGUGGUGGAAAGCUUUUGCGGUGGGAGAUGAGCUUGCGGCCUAUCAGCUUGUUGGUGGGGUAAUGGCCUACCAAGGCGGCGACGGGUAGCCGGCCUGAGAGGGUGUGCGGCCACAUUGGGACUGAGAUACGGCCCAGACUCCUACGGGAGGCAUCAGUGGGGAAUUUUGCACAAUGGGCGGAAGCCUGAUGCAGCGACGCCGUGUGGGGGAUGAAGGCCUUCGGGUUGUAAACUCCUUUCGUCAGGGACGAAGUUUGUUUGACGGUACCUGGAUAAGAAGCACCGGCUAACUACGUG
RNAcentral lists this ribosomal RNA (467 nucleotides) under uncultured bacterium. Its description in RNAcentral is "partial 16S ribosomal RNA". It matches the Rfam family "Bacterial small subunit ribosomal RNA", at positions 28 to 507 of the family's 1533-position model. The record is from RNAcentral.